UCUCCUGGAAAACGGGUGGUAAUGCCGGAUGCUCCAGUUGAUCGCAUGGUCUUCUGGGAAAGCUUUCGCGGUAUGGGAUGGGGUCGCGUCCUAUCAGCUUGACGGCGGGGUAACGGCCCACCGUGGCUUCGACGGGUAGCCGGCCUGAGAGGGCGACCGGCCACAUUGGGACUGAGAUACGGCCCAGACUCCUACGGGAGGCAGCAGUGGGGAAUAUUGCACAAUGGGCGCAAGCCUGAUGCAGCGACGCCGCGUGAGGGAUGGAGGCCUUCGGGUUGUAAACCUCUUUUAUCGGGGAGCAAGCGUGAGUGAGUUUACCCGUUGAAUAAGCACCGGCUAACUACGUGCCAGCAGCCGCGGUAAUACGUAGGGUGCAAGCGUUAUCCGGAAUUAUUGGGCGUAAAGGGCUCGUAGGCGGUUCGUCGCGUCCGGUGUGAAAGUCCAUCGCUUAACGGUGGAUCCGCGCCGGGUACGGGCGGGCUUGAGUGCGGUAGGGGAGACUGGAAUUCCCGGUGUAACGGUGGAAUGUGUAGAUAUCGGGAAGAACACCA
RNAcentral lists this ribosomal RNA (551 nucleotides) under Bifidobacterium longum. RNAcentral describes it as "bacterial SSU rRNA". It matches the Rfam family "Bacterial small subunit ribosomal RNA", at positions 146 to 711 of the family's 1533-position model. Lineage: Bacteria; Bacillati; Actinomycetota; Actinomycetes; Bifidobacteriales; Bifidobacteriaceae. The record is from RNAcentral. RNAcentral also lists the same sequence under 1 other name.